AGAUAGAAUCUCACUAUGUUGACCAGGCUGGUCUUGAACUCUUGGCACCCAAGCGAUCCUUUUGCCUGGAAUCCCAAAGUGUCAGAUUUACUGAAGAAUAUUUCAUUGUAAUUACUUUUUAUACUUUAUAGGUCAAGAGCUCUGUUUUAAAGACAAAAUUUAUUGAAUAUACUUUUUCAAACAAAGUUUCAUGUUCUAAUCAUUGUAUGAUUUCAGCAUUAAAUGAAACACAGUAAAGAAA
Molecule: long non-coding RNA, 241 nt
Filed under: Pan troglodytes (chimpanzee)
Lineage: Eukaryota; Metazoa; Chordata; Mammalia; Primates; Hominidae
Description: lincRNA
Source: RNAcentral